GUAGACUAGAAAAAUGGUCAGAAUUAUGGCAACUGACAUUUAAUGUGGAUAAGUGCAAGAUAAUGCAUCUUGGACGUAAAAACCCAAGGGCAGAGUACAGAAUAUUUGAUAGAGUCCUAACCUCAACAUAUGAGGACAGGGAUUUAGGGGUGAUUAUUUCUGAUGACUUAAAGGUAGGCAGACAAUGUAAUAGAGCAGCAGGAAAUGCUAGCAGAAUGCUUGGUUGUAUAGGGAG
Non-coding RNA from Pelobates cultripes (western spadefoot toad), 235 nucleotides. NCBI's taxonomy places the organism in Eukaryota, Metazoa, Chordata, Amphibia, Anura, Pelobatidae. The record is from the annotation of a GenBank genome assembly.